This 253-nucleotide ribosomal RNA is filed under the name uncultured bacterium. RNAcentral's name for it is "partial 16S ribosomal RNA". It matches the Rfam family "Bacterial small subunit ribosomal RNA", at positions 524 to 776 of the family's 1533-position model. The record is from RNAcentral.
UACGUAGGGUGCAAGCGUUGUCCGGAAUUAUUGGGCGUAAAGAGCUCGUAGGCGGUUUGUUGCGUCGGCUGUGAAAUCCCGAGGCUCAACCUCGGGUCUGCAGUCGAUACGAGCAAACUAGAGUGUUGCAGGGGAGACUGGAAUUCCUGGUGUAGCGGUGAAAUGCGCAGAUAUCAGGAGGAACACCGGUGGCGAAGGCGGGUCUCUGGGCAACAACUGGCGCUGAGGAGCGAAAGCGUGGGGAGCGAACAGG